This 72-nucleotide transfer RNA is filed under the name Phrynosoma platyrhinos (Desert horned lizard). RNAcentral's name for it is "tRNA-OTHER". The record is from RNAcentral. Lineage: Eukaryota; Metazoa; Chordata; Lepidosauria; Squamata; Phrynosomatidae.
GCCAGGAUGGUAUAGUGGUCUGAGUGUUGGAUUAUGACUCUGGAGAUUAGGGUUUGAAUCCCUGCUCAGCCA